Molecule: ribosomal RNA, 781 nt
Filed under: uncultured bacterium
Lineage: Bacteria
Description: bacterial SSU rRNA
Rfam family: Bacterial small subunit ribosomal RNA
Source: RNAcentral
GGCGAACGGCUGAGUAACACGUAAGUAACCUGCCUUGGAGUGGGAAAUAACUCGCCGAAAGGCGGGCUAAUGUCCCAUGUGGUAACGAAGCAAAUGAUUGGUUAUUAAAGCCUUCGGGUGCUCCAAGAGGGGCUUGCGUCUGAUUAGCUAGUUGGUAGGGUAAUGGCCUACCAAGGCGAUGAUCAGUAGCUGGUCUGAGAGGAUGUCCAGCCAGAUGGGGACUGGGACACGGCCCCAACUCCUACGGGAGGCAGCAGCAAGGAAUUUUGGGCAAUGAGCGAAAGCUUGACCCAGCGACACCGCGUGAGGGAAGAAGGCCUUCGGGUUGUAAACCUCUUUUUUUGGGGAAGAAUUAUGACGGUACCCAAGGAAUAAGCCUCGGCCAACUACGUGCCAGCAGCCGCGGUAAGACGUAGGAGGCGAACGUUAUUCAGAUUUACUGGGCGUAAAGGGAGCGUAGGCGGUUCCUGAAGUCAGAUGUAAAAUCUUCUGACUUAAUCAGAAGGCGUCAUUUGAUACCAAGGGACUUGAGAAAAGCAGAGGGAAAUGGAAUCCCCAGUGUAGCGGUGAAAUGCGUAGAUAUUGCGGAGAACACCAGUGGCGAAGGCGAUUUUCCAUGCCAUUUCUGACGCUGAGGCUCGAAAGCGUGGGGAGCGAAGCGGAUUAGAUACCCGCGUAGUCCACGCCCUAAACGGUGGACACUAGACAUAGGAGGUAUCGACCCUUUCUGUGUAGAAGCUAACGCCUUAAGUGUCCCGCCUGGUGCGUACGGCCGCAAGGC